UGUGUGUACGCUGUGUGUGUGUGUUGUGUGUGUACGCUACGUGUGUGUGUACGCUGUGUGUUUGUGUACGCUGUGUGUGUGUGUGUGUAUGGUGUGUGUGUGUGUGUUGUGUGUGUACGCUGCGUGUGUGUGUACGCUGUGUGUUUGUGUACGCUGUGUGUGUGUGUGUGUACGGUGUGUGUGUGUGUGUGUUGUGUGUAUGCUGUGUGUGUGUGUGUGUAAAAAAAUUUUUACUCUGUAAGUCUUAGAGCUUCUCCUGCAGUGCAUUAUGGGCCGUCAUUUGGAUUUAUGUGAGACACUGAAUGUCUUUUUUCCUUUGUGCAUGUGUGUGUGUGUGUGUUGUGUGUGUGUGUGUGCGUGGGGGGGGCGUUAUUGAUAGCACUAACCCUGUUUGUGUAUUGCUGCCUGUCAGAAGGAGGGAAAUGAACAGCGCGAGCUUGGCGGAGAUGAAACGUGUGUUUAAUUAUUAAUCGAGCCAUUACUGACAGAGACGGCCUUUUUCAUAUGAGACAGGAAACAGCUUCGGGGAGGGAAAAAAGCAAUUACACACUCGUGUGUUACAGUGGUAUAGGGAGACAUGGUUUGCUACGAUGUUAAUGUCCAAUCAGUCACUCGUUAUCAGAACAGUUCUAAUGUAGUCAGAUCCAGUUGACCAAUUCCAGACCCGCCUUAUUUUAUGCGCCGUCCAAUCACUGCAUAGCAACUGUUGCUACCCCUCAUUACCUCUGACAUGCUCCUGUUUCUGCCUCCGUUUCUGCUGUCAUCACGUCCUGAAGGGUAGAACGUGUGAAGGCAUUUAUUUAAAGCAUUUCUGCUUCCUUCUGUUUCUGUUCGUUCUUCUUCUCCUCUGUCUGCUUGCUUCCGUUUCUGUCUCUCCUUUUCUUUCCCUUUCAUUCCUCUUCCAGUCCUGUUCCCUUUAUUCCUCCUUUUCCAUUUCUGUUCUUUUGUGUAACUGAGCCUGCGAUUGGCUGAUGUCACUGUGAUUGACGGGAGGGCGGGGCAGUUGUUCUCUGUGUGAAGUGAGAGAUUAAGACUUGCUCCGUCUCCUGGACUCGGAGUUAAAUCCGUGAGACUGUUGUGGAAUUGCAGUGGGAUUUGUUGGGAUUUAUUGCAGCAGAGAGAAUAACACAUGCUUUCCUGUGUGUGUUUUCCUCCUCAGCAUGUGGUUAGUUGUUUGUUUGUGUGUGUGUGUGUGUGUGUGUGUGUGUGUGUGUGUGUGACCGCAAGUUAUGCUUUAAGUGCUGCACAUGAAAGUGCACUGCAUUAAACAUUGAAGAUGGACGCUGAUGCCUCGUGUCUCUGUGGCUUUCACAUUCGAGUGAAUCCGAAGCCAAGUGAUUGACUGCGUUACGUUUCUCUCUGAGUUUUCAUGACUUCACUUCCUGUUAAUGAAUCCUGAGGUGUGUGUGUGUGUGUGUGUGUGUGUGUCUUUAUUCGAACUGGCUGACGCUGACUCGGUGGAUUCUGAACAUCGUGCUGCAUUUUACUAGUUGGUUUAACAGCAAGGAGAAUUAGAAGUAAGGAAACGCUUUACAAGGAAGAAGAAAGAAAGGGAGGGAAAGAAAAAGAGAAAAAAGAGAAGAGGAAUAUAAUUAAGGAAGGGAUUAAAAUAAAUAAAAACAGGCAAGAAAAAGAUAUGAAUCUGAUCUGCACUUCGAGUCGUCACAGGUAACACCGGGUCCCGUUUCUGUUUUCCACCGUCUCGUGUUCGCACGUCUCCCCAGAGAGGGCACACUUCAUUGGGUUUCGGCCUCACACACACACACACACACACACACACACACACACACACACAUACGCACACACACUCUCCCACCCCGUCCCACUCUCCGACUCGACUGGCUGCUAGAAUAACACACACUCGGCGCCUGAAUGGGGCGGCACGCUGCAGACUCGGCACGCUGAGAGGCGGGAAAUUCACCGGUGGCCAAACGAAACAGCGGAACAGACGUCCGUCUGAGGAACGAGAGAGACCACACUGUGUGCUCACAUCCUUUCAUUUUCCUGAAAAAGUAGCUGCCUGUCGCCAUUAGCGUAACGGCGAGAUAAGCGUAACACACGAGCGCUCUCUCAGGACAGGAAUUUACGCCAUGUGCCUGCUCAUUUCAGGGCUAAUUAGCUUAGCCUCAGAGGGAAUAGCGCAACCAAAGCUAAUGGCCUGAAGGUAAACUGCUAGCACAGUCGCUAGAAAUGACUGCUAGUGCUAAGUGUAGAUUUGUAGUCCUGGAAUGAGUGAUGAAUGAUGGAGGAAUAAUAUUUGAGCGCUUUUUGGAUUAGCGUUUGCUAACUGAUUAGUGAGUAAAUGCACUUCUCAGACGUUAGAACCCCACGGUGGACCACGCUCGUUUAUACGACGCAGCGUUUCGUCUCUGUCAGGUCUCCAUGUGUGUUUUUCUUACUACUUAUUUUCUUCGGGUUCACGUUGCCAGAAUAAAUAAAAGCUGAAGCAGUGCAGAGCUCAGAGUGAGAAAAAAUAAACUUCAGGUUUAAUGGAUGGUGGCCAGGUAUGGCCAGGUGUGUGUUAUGUGUGUGUGUGUGUGUGUGUGUGUGAUAUUUUCAGUAGUGUGAUUGAUAGUAAACCUCUAACAGUAGGGUUGUUUUGCUGUACGUUAUUAUACCUUUUGUUCUAUAUACAGUAGCGUUUCCUAAAGGAAAAUUCCCCGCCCCUUCUUUGGUCCCACCCCUUCUUUGGUCCCACCCAUCCAUCUUAUCAAGGUAUCAUCACGUUCUCAUCAAAAACACACCAUUCAAUUAGGCCAGUACUGUAACAGGAACAUUUAGUAUCGGCUUAUAACUAUUUCUAAGGUUUAUGAAAAUAAAGUUUGAAAAUUUUGAUUCGAUUUGUUUAAAUUGUGUCUGCACGCUGGCAGGGUGAAUCUUUGAUCUCACAAUAAUUCGAUGUCCCAAUGACUCUUAAAAAGAUUUGAACUUCAGAUUUUGCGUUUUGAUUCAGUUCUGUUUGUAAAUGGAAAUGAUUUGUUUGGACGAAUCAGAUUUAAUUUGAUUCUUUAGCAAAUGCUUCAUUUUAACAAUUCAGAUCUCAGAUGUCAUUGAUUCGAAACGGUUCAGUGCCAUUUGGUUAUUUUAGUAAAAUUCAUUUAAAUGAUUCAUAUUUCUGCCUUGAUUUAAUUAGAAUAUUUCUUCAGACAUACAGUUUUCAUAAUGAUUUCGUCAUGAUUUUGUAAGAUCCAGAGUUUGACUGUCAGAAGUGAUCAUCUCUGACAUGACAAUUUGAUUCUUUAGGAAAUUAUUAGUUUGAUUAAAAUAAGUUUCCUUUAGUUUGAUUAGAGUCUGUACAGAAUUAUUUGUUUAAACAAUCUGGAUCUUAAAAUCUACAGUAUGAGUCGUUCUAAUGAAUCAAAUCUCUUUUCACUCUGAUUCGAUUGUUUUGGCUACGAUUCAGUUUUUUAUUUUAAAUCGUGACUGGUGGAGACUUGACACAAUCGUUUUUUCAGUUCUCGGUACUUGUGCACGUUACACAUUUACGUUACAUUUAUUUGUCAUUUUGCUGUAGUUUCGUUCAGAGCGUGUCACUAAUGUUAGUCGACUCUAACCACGAGCUACACUCUAUACAAUAUCGUUACAGCCGUUCCUAAUCGAUUUUCAGCUUCUCAGGUCGAUGUCGUGAAUCGGCCGCCUUCAGAUCGAUUCGCUUUUACAGCCCGGAUAAACGUGUCAAAUUUUCGCGCUGUUUAAAGCAGGUGCUCUGAGAGAACCACGUUUAGUGCCGGAUACUUCAGACAGAACAAACCAUCUGGGUCUCCUGUUUAAAGGAGCAUCUCGAGUGGUUUACCAAUAACUCGGCUCUUUACACACCUCUGUGUCUGAGUGUGGAGGGAAUCGGAAUUAGUUCAGUAAAGAAAAUGGGAAAAUUAAGCGGAUAGAUGAGCGCAGAUCCGUGUGUCAGGUGGAGAGACGAGCUGGAGAGGCUGCACCAGAGCUUUCAGGCAUAAUGUCAAAUGUUUCAGAGGAAAUUGGCUCAGUGAUUUGACUGCGUGUGUGUGUGUGUGUGUGUGUGUGCGUGUGUGUGUUUGUGUGUGUGUGUGUGUGUGUGUGUGUGUGUGUGUAAUGGGCAUUGCUGGAGCCAGAUAUUGCCAUCAUUAUUUUUAAUAUAUAUAUAUCUGAGCUAAUCUGAGCUAACCUGACAGGAUAAUUAUCUCCUCGAAAUCCUGUCAGGUUAGCUCAGAUUAGCCAGUUAGCAAGCAUUAGUAGUAAACAUUAUAAACAUUUAUGAAUAUGAUUUAAAAUCCUGGCAGAAAGCCAUUCAGUUUAGCGUCUGAUUGCCAACCAGCUAGCUCUCAGUGAGUAAUAUGAAUAUUUAUGAAUAUGAUUUUAAAAUCCUGUCAGGUUAGCUCAAAUUAGCCAGCUAGCUAGUAUUAGUAGUAAACAUUAUAAACAUUUAUGAAUAUGAUUUAAAAUCCUGUCAGAACUCCUGUCAGGUUAGUGAACAUUAGCAGGUUACCUAACAGUAGUAGUAAUUGGGGAUGCACUGAAAUUUUGUCCGCUGAAGAUUUCCUGCCGAAAAUGGCAUUUUCGGUUUUUGGCCAAAAAAGAAAAAAUUCCAAAAAUAUAUGCCCCCACACCCUGCCCCUUGAUCUAGCUGACGGUCAUCGUUGCAUUGCGACAUUACUAGAUCUACGAUUUAAAGAACAUUACUUUGAGGCGGAGUAAAAGCAGCGUGUACGGGGACUGAUCCAGGCGGAGCUGGAGGUGAUGACUGCAUCUGCUGAAGGUUCGACGCGCAGCACAGAGUAAAGUGUGCCAGAGAAACGGUGUGUACGAGUGAUGAGGCACAACCUCCCUCAGUUUCUCACAUGUUUGACGAGAUUCUAGAGGAAAACGUCUCGAUCCUCAGCAGUGCCACAACAAGCACAGCUACGCUUUCCAUUGCUUGUGCGGAUUGCACGCAGGUAUUUAUCUGCCCCAAGCACCAGCACAGAGAGUGAGAGAGGAUUCAGUGCAGCACCUCAUGUUCUUGAUGAGAAGAGGAACCUUCUCUCCUGCCAGAACGCAGAGGAACUUUUGCCCUUGAAGAGAAACCUGCCACCUUUACGUAAAUAGAAAGCAGUCCAAUUUGCUAUGUGUGUAACAUUUACGCCAAAAUUCGUGUAGCCCUGCAAAACUUUGUUCUCGACUGGAACAAUUUACACCAAUCAUCCUGUUCAAAAGUUUACACCCUCUUGGCACUUAAUGUAUGGUAUUGCCUUCUGGAGCGUCAGUGAAUGUUUGCACCUAAUGUAAUAGUCGUGUACGAGUCCCUCAGUCGUCCUCAGUGUGAAAAGAUGGAUCAUCAUAUAGCCGCUGUUGGAAAGGGUUCAAAUAUGCAGAAUAUGCUGGAAAAGUAAAGUAUGUACAGGACCUGGAGGAUCUUUCUGAAGAACAGUUUGGCAGUUUAACUGCUCAGGACAAACAAGGGACUCAUGAAGAAGUCUCACAAAACAAAAACACCGUCGUGUCGGGGAUCAUCCAGGUAACGACACACAGUAUUAAGAAUCAAGGGUGUGUAAACUUUUGAACGGCAUAAUUUUUAUAAAUUCAGCUUUGUCUUGUGGACUAUAUGUAAACAUCUGUUAUGUGAAAUAGCUUAUUCAGGGCAGAACUAAAUAAACAAAAACAUGGGAUUUUUAUGAUCGUUCUUAUUUUGUUAACAGUAAUAAGAUUUAGCAGAUUCUGCAAGGGGUGUGCAAACUUUUGGCACAACUGUAGAUCUGUUGUUAACAGUCUCAGGUUUGUUUUAGUUCUAUUGCUGCUGUUUUGAAUAUUAAUCUUUAAUUAAUGUGGAAAUACGUUUACAUAAACAGAAUAGAGGCCUAAUUCGUUACUACACUGUUGUUUUGUAUGUCAUAAUAGUUUUCUAGAACUUUACAUUUUUUGGAUAAUUGGAUUAAAAAAAUCAGUUAAAUUUGAUUGUUACAGAAUUGAAUGAAGAAUAAUAUGUUUAAAUAUUGUUUUUGUUUUGGUAUGUUAAUUUCAAUUAAAGUCUGAUCAUUUUA
This is a long non-coding RNA of Ictalurus furcatus (blue catfish), 5993 nucleotides long. RefSeq lists it as uncharacterized. Lineage: Eukaryota; Metazoa; Chordata; Actinopteri; Siluriformes; Ictaluridae. The record is from RefSeq and is a predicted model, not a curated record. The transcript is spliced from 2 exons.